CCCUUAGAUGUUCUGGGCCGCACGCGCGCUACACUGACGAAUGCAACGAGCUUAUAACCUUGGCCGAAAGGUCUGGGUAAUCUCCAAAUUUCGUCGUGAUGGGGAUAGAUUAUUGCAAUUAUUAAUCUUGAACGAGGAAUUCCUAGUAAACGCAAGUCAUCAGCUUGCAUUGAUUACGUCCCUGCCCUUUGUACACACCGCCCGUCGCACCUACCGAUUGAAUGACUCGGUGAAAUCCCCGGACUGCAGCCUUGACACCCUCGGGUGACUCGGCAGUGGAAAGCGGAUUAAACCUCGCCAUUUAGAGGAAGGUGAAGUCGUAACA
RNAcentral lists this ribosomal RNA (325 nucleotides) under uncultured eukaryote. RNAcentral's name for it is "partial 18S ribosomal RNA". It matches the Rfam family "Eukaryotic small subunit ribosomal RNA", at positions 1470 to 1796 of the family's 1831-position model. The record is from RNAcentral.